Molecule: long non-coding RNA, 6099 nt
Filed under: Sus scrofa (pig)
Lineage: Eukaryota; Metazoa; Chordata; Mammalia; Artiodactyla; Suidae
Description: lncRNA (ENSSSCG00025036659.1)
Source: RNAcentral
UGGAUUUCAUAAAACAUAUUAAUAUAAAUUAUUAUGCAUACCUCACACAGAUAAAAAGGUGUACAUAUAUUCAUUUUUAUAGGCAUAAACCAUUUGAAGCAAGUGCACAAUGCAUAAAGAGUACAUAUGAGAUCUAUUGCAAUGUUUUCUAUAACCACUGAGGGAAAUGAUAUCACGAGGAAAUACAGAUUUAAAUCUCUUAACUAUAAACUGUUCAUUUUUUCUUGUCUCUGAGUUUUUUCCUUGUUAAUUAUAUUUUACUCUUUACACAUGUCAAUGUUUAAAUUUUCAACUUAAACCUAAUUUUACACUCCACAGUAUACUCUUUCUGUAUAUGCAGCAACAAAACCCUAAAUUCAUUUAUUUCAAAGUACAAAAAAAUCUUCCCUCUUCAACAUACUAGACAUGCAUGUCAUUAUGUAGUGUGCAGGAGGCAAUAAGAAAAUGGAUAUGGAAUCAAUACACAGAUCAGAGUAAGCUUGACUACAGGAAAAAAAAAUGGACAGGACUGAGGACAACAAUUCAAACACAGUCAAAAGGAAGAAUGUCAAUUUCAAGGCAGUAAUGAAUUUCGCUAGAUACAACCAGCCCCUGUUAUCAGUGGAUGAACUGAAAUCUGUUUUUCUAUAGGUAUAAGAGUAAAAAAUGAAAAUGACAAGAGGCAAAUGAAACUUAGGCAGUAUAGGGGAAAAGAACUACUCUGCAGUUUCCUAUGAAGAAUUCCAUUUUAUUUCAAUGAAUUUGUUCAUGUGUUCUCAGUGUAUUGUUUUAUUUCUAAAAGUCUGUAUGUUUAUCAUGCUACCUAACCCUACAAAUAAUAUUUAUAAUAAUUAUUUUUCCUAGUGUAGAGAAUUAUUUCAAAGAUAUUAUUUUAGUUAUUUCUUAAGCUAACUGAAGUAGUUAGAUCAGGCAUACGCUAUUAUCAGCAGACCUACAAUUUAUUUACAAAAUGUACAGCAGAAAUUAUCACAAUAAUGUAAAUCAAUAAUACUUUAAUAAAACUGAAGCGAACAAACAAGAAAAUCUAUGGGCACCAUUUUCCAACAGCAAAAAUAAAUAAAUAAAUAAAUAGAAAUAUAGAUAAAUAAAUAAUAAAAGUUGUUAGAUCUUCUAAGUGAAGAAGAGUAAAGUGUGAACUAAAACCUAAUUCCACUUAUUCCAAAUGCUAUGUUGCUGCCAUGACUACAUUCUGAUAUAAUGCUAUCAUGGAAUUGGUAGUAGUCAAGUUAAUUGAGCAUAUACAAAAUAAAUCUUAUAUAGAUCAUUUUUUAAAAUACAGCAUUAAGUUAUUUGGGCUCCUUAGUAUAAUUAAUAAGAAAAAUGAAGUUGGUCAGGUGGUAAUUCAAGCAAAAUGGCAAAAUGUUCAGAAAUAAAUUUUGAAUAUACAUGCAAAUUAAACCACAAAAAAAUUUCUGUACAAAGAAAUAUAUUUUUAGGAGUGGCCUCUGAGACUAAAAAAAAAUCAAAAACAACCUCCAUCAUGGCUUUCAUAACAGAUGAUUUAUUUAUUUUUCAAUGUAUUCCACAUGUAAAUCACUGCCAUAUUUGUUAUGUUUUAAAGGGCAAGAAAAACAAAUAAUAAAAACCAUAUUAUAUUCUCAUCCUAAUUAAUUUCCAAUUUUCCUUUAUAAAAGCAAGGAGAAUGGGGAACAAUGGUGCAAUAUAAUGGAACCUCUACAAUCUUUUUGUAAGCAUAUUUUGCAUAUACAUAUAAUUUGCUAUUAAAAUUUUUAGGCAUAAAUUUGAUGGUAUUAGUUACAUUCAAAACAUUGUGCAACAAUCAUCCCUAUUCCAAAAUAAUGUUAUUACUUUAACAAAAGCUCUGGACUGAAUAAAUAGUAUAAAGGAGAGAACACUUCACAAUUUUACAUAUUACUCUUGCACAGAGGCCUUGACCUGGGUCUCUGCAUCAUUCCAGUUUUUGUAUAUAUGCUGUUGAAGCAAAUAUUUGAGUGUUUUUUCUCGAAAUAAUUCUCAUGAAGAAUUUGGAUUUUUUUUUCUUUUUAUUUAUGUAUUCAUUACUCAAUGAAUUUAUUACAUUUAUAGUUGUACAAUGAUCAUCACAAUCCACUUUUAUAGGAUUUGGAGCCCACAACCCCAGCUCAUCCCCUCACCCCCUGAACUUUAUCCUUUGGAAACCAUAAGUUUUUCAAAGUCUGUGAGUCAGUAUCUGUUCUGCAAAGAAGUUCAGUCUGUACUUUUUGCAGAUUCCACAUGUCAGUGAUAGCAUUUGAUGUUGGUGUCUCAUUAUAUGGCUGACUUCACUUAGCAUGAUAAUUUCUAGCUCCAUCCAUGUUGCUAAAAGUGCCAGUAUUUCUUUCUUUUUAAUGGCUGAGUAAUAUUCCAUUGUGUAUAUGUACCACUUCUUGGUCCACUCCUCUGUCAAUGGACAUUUAGGUUGUUUCCAUGGCUUGGCUAUUGAAAAUAGUGCUGCAAUGAACAUUGGAGUACAUGUGUCUUUGUGAGUCGUGGUUUUCUCUGGAUAGAUGUCCAGGAGUGGGAUUGCUAGAUCAAAUGGUAGUUCUAUUUUUAGUUUUCUGAGGAAUCUCCACACUGUUUUCCACAGUGGCUGCAGCAAUUUACAAUCCCACCAACAGUGUAAUAGGGUUCCUUUUUCUCCACACCCUCUCUAUCACUUAAUGAUUGUGGACUUUUUGAUGAUGGCCAUUCUGGCUGGUGUAAGGUGGUAGGUACCUCAGAGUGGUUUUGAUUUGCAUUUCUCUAAUGAUGAGUGAUGUUGAACAUCUUUUCAUGUGUUUUUUGCCAUCUGAAUGUCUUCUUUGGAGAAUUGCUUGUUUAGAUCUUCUGCGCAUUUUUUGAUGGGUUUUUUUUUUUUUUUGGUAUUGAGCAGUAGGAGGUGUUUAUAAAUUUUGGAGAUUAAUCCCAUGUCAGUCGAUUCAUUUGCAAAUAUUUUCUCCCAUUCUGUGCAUUGUCUUUUUGUUUUUUUUAGGGUUUCCUUUGAUGUGCAGAAACUUUUAAGUUUGAUUAGGUCACAUUUUUUUAUUUUUGUUUUUAUUGUCAAUACUUUAAGAGGUGGAUCUGAGAAGAUGUUGCUGUCGUUGAUGUCAGAGAGUGUUUGACCUAUGUUUUCCUCUAAGAGUUUUAUAGUAUCUGGUCUUAUAUCUAGGUCUCUAAUCCAUUUGGAGUUUAUUUUUGUGUAUGGUGUUAGGAAGUGAUCUAAUUUCAAUCUUUUAUAUGUGGCUGUCCAGUUUUCCCAGCACCACUUAUUGACAGACUGUUUUUUCUCCAUUGUAUAUUCUUGCCUCCUUUGUCAUAGAUUAGUUGGUUCUAGGUGCGUGGGUUGGAUUUUUCCAACAGCAAGUCCUUGCUCUGUAACAACUGUGAAAAUUUUCCUAAAUACAAAUUAAUAUACAUUAGUUAGGUGUGUUUUGUUAUUUGGAUCAGAGAGAAAGAGAUUUUCAUCAUUGGACUAUAAAAGAAUUUUUUUAAUUAAAUGAUUUUUUUCCUUUCUUCCACACUAAACGUUGCAUCUUCUUCCAUUUGCUUUCAUUACAUUAGGAAACCAUAACUGAAAUAUACAUAUGUUUAUAUACAAAUAUAUUAUAAAAUGCAUACAUAAUUUAUUUAUAUAUAGGAAAAAAAUAUAUAUAUAAUUUUUCUAUGUUCCUAGAUAAUGCUUUGGAUAUUUUAUGUCUCAUUUUGCUUCAUUUUUCAUUCAGCAUUCAUUACUCUUUUUAAAAUUUCUAUGACCACACUUAGGGCAUAUGGAAAUUCCCAGGCCAGGGGUCAAAUGGGAGCUGUAGCUGGGUCCUAUGCCACAGCUAGCAACACUGGAUCCGAGCUACAUCUGUGACCUACACUGCAUUACAGCAACACCAAAUCCCUAACCCAUUGAGCGAGGCCAGGGAUCAAACCUGCACCCUCACAGAGACAACCUUGGAUCUUUAAAGCACUGAGCUACAAUGGGAACUCCAGCAUUCACUUCUUAAAGUUGAUAUAUGUUGAUAUAUAUAUAUCUGGAAUAUAUGUAAUAAGAUUUAUCAAUUUUUCAACUGAUGAGUAUCUAAGCUGCUUUUGCUAUUGGAAAAUUUAUACACACCGGAACUUUUGUGUGUAUACAUAUUUUAAAAAUAUGCAUAUAUAUUAUAUAUACAAAUAAUAAACAUAUAUGUAUAUUAAAUAUAAACUGUUAAUUAUUUUAAAUGAUGUUAAAAUAUAUUUGAAGAAAUGGAUUUAAAAGCUAAAAAGAAAGAUACAAAUGAAAAAUGUAAGUACAGUGAUCCAAGGGUUCAAAAACCUAAUAAGAGGCUCUACAAGAGAGAACAGAAAACAUUGGGAGAAAAAAAUGUUAAAGAUAUAAUAGAAAAAUAUGUUUAGAGAUGAAUGCAAGCCAUAUAUUUAUAUUUAAAGCUUAUACUGAAUGAUCAAGAUAAAAAAGUAGAAAGUUCUCAUGAAAUUUUAUACAUUAAGAAUAGAGGCAUCUUAAAAUUAUAUCAUUGAAUGUUAUAAAAACAAAGUCAUUGACAAAUAAAAAGAAAUGAAUUUAAAUCAUAUUUUCUCUUGGGAAAGUCAGUUUCUUUGUGCAUAUAAUCUUUCAGCCCCCACUGGAUCACUUGAGAAUGGAUCUUGGGCUUGCAACAUUUCCUCCUCAAGAGAUAAAGAACCCACACAACAUGUGUUGGGCUUAUCGCCUUUUGUGGGAAAAUCUUACCAUUUCAGGCAAAAUGAAUGUUCUUUUUUCUUUGUUUGAAACCUGUGCUACAUAUGGCCGUAACCAACCCCACUGAUACCUGUCCUCAGUGAGGAGGCUUCAUGUAGACAAACUGCCCCAUGUUGGUCUCCAAGAGAGACCUACUGGCUGUGAGGGACCAAUGUCCACUAUUGAAGCUGAUCUUACAGUGUCUGAUCUGUGUGGGAAUAGGGUUGUUCCAUCCACUGCUAAACUGAAUUGUGUUCUUAAUGAGUCUGAUAAACAAAAUGCAGUGGGCAGAAGUGUUUAGAAUCUUCUCCUGGGACCAGUAACUGAUGCAGGUUGGACCUGGGACCUGGGACCUGGGACUCUGCUUCAGUGCAUUGAGCAAUAGAAUACAAAGAAAGUGUAAGGGACUAAAAAUAACUACAUGCAUGUGUAGUUGGCCCAAAUGUUGAAAAAAAUACAAAAACCAACUGCCACUUCUGAGGUUUCAGGAGCAAAAGCAGGGUACUGCACAUGAUCCCUGCACACAGCACCACCAGGUCUGACCACCUAAGCCACCCUUUCUGCCUGACCCAUGUGUCCCAAUAAAGCCUUGCCUGAAUUUUUCAUCUGGCCUUUUAUCAAGUUCUACCGAUUAAAGAGUCUAAGAAUUCUGGUUGGUAAUAUAACCAGUGCACAGUAAUCACCUCAACACUUUCCAAUAGCAUAACUGGAUGGUGGUAGAAUAUGGAACAGUGAUUUCAAAGUUCUUACUUUUACUUUAUUAUGAUUUUAGGAAAAAUAUAAAUAUUAGUGGACUAAAAAUAUAAAAUUAUGAGAGUAACAAUUAGGAAAUUUUAAUAGUAGAAAUGAAAAUGUAGAAGAUAUAGGGAGGCAUACAUUUAUCUUAAAAUUUGGAGAAUUAUGAGAUAUGGUGAAUAUUUAUUGUUAAGAAGAUGUAUGUUUGAGCAUAAUAUCUAAAAAUAUAGCAUAACAACUCCUUUCACAACUAAAAAGACUAAUAAUUUAUCAAACUUUGGCCUGAACUUCCAUAUGCCACAGGUCUGGCUCUAAAAAAAAAAAGAUUCUGCACCCAAUUACCCAAUUUUAAUUCUGCACUUAAGUCCAAUGUAUAUGGGGCGGGUGUUCCUCCACAUUAGCAAGAAGUUCUUGGACACCAGCUAGUAUCCUAUACUCCCACUCUAUUCUAAAAGACUCAGAUUCCAUAGGUGAAGGGUUCAGGCCUACACAACCGACCUUCGCCUCCACUUUGGAUGUUAACUGCCAAGUCCUGGUUGUUAUAUUUUCUUCUGUGACCAACUGGCUACAGAUUGGAGGGUCUGACUGGCUAUAAACUGGCUAUAGAUUGGUUCAUCUAACCUCCACUUUGGGUUCCAUUAAUUUUCUGGAAAUUCUGGCAGUACGCAGAGACUCAUUUUACUUACUAGAUUACCAAUUUCUUC